CGGCUCCAGGCUCCCUUCUCUGCCCUCCGAGGCAGCGAGCCGGGGGCUUCUGGGUCCCUGUGGAAGGGGCCGUGCCUCUAGCGGCGGCUAGGGGGCGCAGGAGGACCCGAGCGCAAAUCCGACCUCAGACACUUCCCGGCUGUGUGACCCUGGGCAAGUCACUUACCCCAACUGCCUCGGGGGAAAAGUGACGUCCCGGAAGUGCGAGACGCGAGACGCGUGAGCCUUUCGAAGGAAACGCGGAUCAAUUAUCAGAAGAAAGACCAACCAACCGAGAGCCCCCGCAAGCGACGCCCGCAGAUCUGGCGGAGGACCUCCCCCUUCCCCGCUCUUGCUGAAUUCUGGAGAAAGUCAAGCCCACGGGACCCUUCCGGCCGCACUAGGCGCCGGGUUCAGCACAACGUCACGACAAGCGAAGACUCACAACAGCGACAGACGGAGCGGCGACAAGAUGUCCAAAUGGCCGCUGACACAAGGCAGACCCAUCAGCCCCGACCCGGAACUCUCCCCUGCGUCAGGCGGGCAACGAACGGCCAGAGAAAAGCGGCAGUCAUUUUGGCGGGGCUGUCUCAGAUGAAAACGGA
Molecule: long non-coding RNA, 584 nt
Organism: Sarcophilus harrisii (Tasmanian devil)
Lineage: Eukaryota; Metazoa; Chordata; Mammalia; Dasyuromorphia; Dasyuridae
Exons: 2
Source: RefSeq, a predicted model, not a curated record